UGAGCAAUCUGCCCUUCUCUUCGGAAUAAGCGUUGGAAACGACGUCUAAUGCCGAAUACGACCUCCUUUCGCAUGAUCGGAGGUGGAAAGCUCCGGCGGUCAAGGAUGGGCUCGCGGCCUAUCAGCUUGUUGGUGAGGUAACGGCUCACCAAGGCUUCGACGGGUAGCCGGCCUGAGAGGGCGACCGGCCACACUGGGACUGAGAUACGGCCCAGACUCCUACGGGNGCAGCAGG
Molecule: ribosomal RNA, 235 nt
Filed under: uncultured bacterium
Lineage: Bacteria
Description: partial 16S ribosomal RNA
Rfam family: Bacterial small subunit ribosomal RNA
Source: RNAcentral